UUAGGCCGCGGUAUUAUGACCGUGCAAAGGUAGCAUAAUAAUUAGUUUUUUAAUUGAAGGCUAGAAUGAAUGGUUGGACAAGAGAUAAACUGUCUCAGAUUAAGAUAUUGAAUUUAACUUUAAAGUGAAAAGGCUUUAAUGAUCUAAAGGGACGAUAAGACCCUAUAAAACUUUAUAUUUUAAGGUAGAAAUUAAUUUUAUUUAAGAGUUAUUAUUUUAAAAUAUUUUGUUGGGGCGACAAGGAUACAAGAAAAAGUAACUGUCUUUUAUUUUUACAAUUAUAUUUGGCGUAUGACCCUAAAAGGGAUUAAAGAUUAAGUUACUUUAGGGAUAACAGCGUUAUUUUCUUUGAGAGUUCCUAUCGACAAGAAAGUUUGCGACCUCGAUGUUGAAUUAAAGGUUCUUUAUAGAGUAGAGACUAUAAAAGAAGGUCUGUUCGACCUUUAAAAUUUUACAUGAUUUGAGUUCAGACCGGUGUAAGCCAGGUUGG
Molecule: ribosomal RNA, 490 nt
Filed under: Faxonius bellator
Lineage: Eukaryota; Metazoa; Arthropoda; Malacostraca; Decapoda; Cambaridae
Description: partial 16S ribosomal RNA
Rfam family: Archaeal large subunit ribosomal RNA
Source: RNAcentral